GCCCAACUGACUGAGACCCCCAGGCACCAAGACAACUUCAUCUUUAACUUCACCUGCUACUACGUACUCUGGAAGCCUGCAUCACAACAGGCCUCAGAUUUCAGCAAUGGCCACAAGACACCACUGGCAGCUCACCAGUAAGAAAGAUCACCUGUCCAGAUGUGGACCUCAGCCGUGGUGUUUCUUGUCAACUGCCAGCUCACCUGCCCCCAACACCGGACAUACGGGUCUCCAUGUCUGCCAGUGACCUGUCGAGGGGUCCGCAGAUUUUCUGUGUGCACUUCCUGU
Long non-coding RNA from Mustela erminea (ermine), 288 nucleotides. RefSeq lists it as uncharacterized. NCBI's taxonomy places the organism in Eukaryota, Metazoa, Chordata, Mammalia, Carnivora, Mustelidae. The transcript is spliced from 3 exons. The record is from RefSeq and is a predicted model, not a curated record.